RNAcentral lists this transfer RNA (62 nucleotides) under Pholoe pallida. RNAcentral describes it as "tRNA-Trp". Lineage: Eukaryota; Metazoa; Annelida; Polychaeta; Phyllodocida; Pholoidae. The record is from RNAcentral.
AAGAAUUUAAGUUAAAUAAACUCUAAGCCUUCAAAGCUUAAAAUGCCCCCACGUAAUUCUUG